AGCACACCACAGAGGUCACCGUGAAGAAGUCUGGAAGCCUGCUUAUAAAUUCUGGGAUACAAGGAUACUCCCUGCUAAAGAUAACUCAGUCUGGAUUUGAAGGAUUCAUGAGGGAUCGCUACACUCUUCUUCCUGAAACAAGAGAAAGAAUUGUAGCUACAGAAGUAACUGCUUGGUGGAGCAGAUGAGAGGCUGGAAUGUUCCAUCCAAAUAGUUUAAUCAGAAACUGCACUGGCAAAGGUCUAGAGGAUGUAGAGGAGCUCCAGUUUGAUCCUAAGGAUGGCAUUGCUUUUUUUUCUUCUUAUGCUCCAGUUUGCAGCAACAUCUCCGACACCCUCUCGACGAAUUGCAGGUAGAUUGUAGCUGAGGAUGCGGCGAUGACCACCGAGGACCGGAGUGCAUGCUCGGUGGCAGAAGCAUCAGGGUGCUCCACGCUCAACAUCUUCUCAGCAUAGCUGCUCGAUCAGUAGUUUUGAUUGAUCUAUUUGAUAAUUUAAGCCAUCCAGUUGAUGUUCUUGGUUCGCUCAUGCUCUUUUCUUAUGUUGUUGUUUAAUCACUAUUGGCUUGGAUAUUCUCUAUAGCAUCUCAACAAUUCACUGCAACUGGCCAGGUUAUUCUGUAUAUUUGAUACUGUACGAGAGUAGCAGUCGGACUCAAAAAAUCACAACAUUCUGCAGGUCCAAAUUUACAUUGAUCGUUUAGUGGUUCAUCGAAAUUGUUCUGCCUAUGACUUUGAAAUUGGCCAGUAAAAGCCAACAUCCACCCUCUUCACAGCCGCAGUCAGGGAUUCGUUCAUUUUAGUGUGAGUAAGGAUGGGAACAUUGAUCUAUAUAUGGUAAUAUUUCAUGCUGAUUUCAUUUCUCAUUUCAUUGAUCAUCCGUGUUACUCCUUUGACAAAUGAUAUUUAUAGUACUUCUGGAUGACAAAGACUUUGAGUUCUGUGUGAAGCUCCAAAAGGAAUACCUAUAAGACUCCUUCAUCAACUUAGUAAGAUUGCAUAUGCCCUUUGCGUUGCACAGGUCCAACGCCUCGCUCCUCUACUCAUAGUGAAAAAAACUUAGGUACUCUGAAAUUUAUCUUUUCUUCCCCUCAUGCUUUGUUAGGUUAGAUCAAUAGUUUUAUCUUAUUGGACCUGUGCAUUUUGAGAGUCCGAAAUGGGAACAUUAAAUUUACUUGGACCCUAUCUUAUUCUCAUAUCUGUAACUAGCUUUGCUUGUCAUUUAGAAGGGAUGACCUAAGGAGUAGAGAGAUUCGAGGCAAUCAAAAUCCUGCAUAUGUAUGUUUACAUGCGUUUGAUAAUCCUAUGCCAGGGCCACAUAUAUAGGGACAUUCAAAAUUCUACACCAGGUUUACGUAUAUAGGGACAUAUUCAGCUGAGGUUCACGUAUAUACAAACCUGAAACUGUAUGCUUCAAACCGGAUGUGGCAGUAAUCCACUCAUCAUGCAUAACAAAACAAAAAUCUGUUACCUAGCAUGUAUUUGUUUGUACAGAUGAUGCAAUGUACUACAUUUUGUUUGCAUAAUACAUCACCUAGCAUGUAUUUUUUAUAAUCGAGCACCGCGACGAAUCUGUUAUUUACCUUAGGAGGGUAAGAAAAAACACAAUCAAUGACAUUAUACAUAAUUCUAGACAUUGUUUUAGAGUAUGUUCUGAAGUAUAUUUUUCUUCCAGUAAAUGUUGGAAAUGUCUAUGUACUUUUUUCUCCCAAUAUGUUAUGGUCAUCUUCCUGCUAUGCAUAUAAAUUUCAUGGCCAGCUUACCAGCUGGUGGUUGGCGAUCCUUUCUAUCUUCUUCCUCGCCGGCUCGAUAAAUCUCUUGGUUUCCUUCUCCUACCACUAUUCCUCCCUUGUGCUCUGUAACUCGGCCAUUGAUGUGGCUGUUAGUAAUAAGACGGUAAUAUUUGUUUUAUAGAAAUACUUGUUUUUUUGCGGGUGUUUAGAAAUACUUGUUAGUUGCACAGGUGUACCCUGCAAGGAAUAAUUUUACAAUGGAAAUGCAUAUCUGUUGAAUUGAUGACUAAACAAGUUUGCGGGCACAUCUCUGAAAAUACAAGCAAAUACAGACAUAGAUUUAAGGGUUCUCAUUCAUUUAAAUCUCAAUGUUGAGAGAAGCCGAUCUCUGGAUAUGAGUAUUUUCUUCCCUGUUUGCGUGAUUGUUUAAUUGAAUGGAUAACUGUGUCUCCUGAAUAUUGUCCCAUAUAAUUGUUUUAAAUCUACCGAAUUAGUUCUCUAAAUCAGUUGAUAUUUUGCAAAGCUUCAAGCUUUAGUUUUUGCACUUAAUGACAUCAAUUGUUUGUGCAGAUUCAAGAUUUAUUUCUGUACUGGAUGAUAGCAGUGAUUAGUGAUUACUGUCACAUGCUGCUGUUGUCAUCCAUAUCUCCUCAGGUGCCUUAGGUUUGUGAUGCGAAAGUUGUUCUACAUAUGUAAAUUGCUCUGUUCUUCUUUCGCCAAAUACAUUAAUAAGCCCGCGAUACACUUUGCUUCUUUUUUUAUCUAAUGUCUAUUUGUAGACUAAGUGUUUUAUUUAUGAUAGUGGAUUUCUGGCGUACAUGUGAAUAUCUCAUGUAUAUACAAUCAGUACACUCACCUGAACGAGAAUGUUAGCAAGCAGAGCGGGGUUGCGUCUUGUCCUUCUAGCGUCGAAGGUCCGGUGCACCCAUGGGUGUGCCUUUGCUGGUUUCUGACUGUCACAAAGAAGUCAGAGCUGUGGGCGGCGAGGCCACUGCGGCAACGAUGACUAUGAGAACAGUUUUCAGCAAGCGGUGCUCCCCGAAUGUUGCGUUGAACUACGUCAUUGCGUGGCUUGCAAUCUUCUCCUAUGAAGCCCGUAUGCAAAAUUGAAACUGUCAUGUCCUCGAUGUUGUGCUCGACUAUUCAUUGUUGCUUUGUGGCUCCGUGCUUCCUCUCCACAGUUAUAUCGUUUUUUGUGAUGUAAUCUUAUUAGUGGUUGGGUCAUCCAUGCGAGCCCCUUCUGAAGUUUGUAGUCUAGGUUAGAUACAUCCGUAUGUAGACAAAUUGAAGACAAAUAAUAUGGAAAGGAGGGAGUAUAUUAUUUGACUCAA
Triticum urartu is the source of this 3062-nucleotide non-coding RNA. The record is from RefSeq and is a predicted model, not a curated record. NCBI's taxonomy places the organism in Eukaryota, Viridiplantae, Streptophyta, Magnoliopsida, Poales, Poaceae.